AGCGCCGUGUGGCGGGAGGACCGAGUCUGGGCCCAGAGCUUCUGUUCGGGAACGUGAGCUAUCGGGGGAACUGAGCACUCGGCAUCCAGCGGGGGCGGCGUGGAGCUCCGCGCCCAGGACCCGCCCCGGGUGCUGGGAACUCGGUACCGGCGAUGGCGCCGCGGUGGGGCGGCCGGUGCUUGGUGCUGCUGUGUUUCGUGAUGCAAGUCGCAGUCGCAGAUGAACAUGAUUUCGACUUGGCCGACGCCCUGGACGACCCUCAACCCACCAAAAAGCCAAGCUCCGAUCUUUACCCAAAGCUGCCUCAGCCCUCGGACCCCAACAGUGGAA
This is a long non-coding RNA of Nannospalax galili (Upper Galilee mountains blind mole rat), 330 nucleotides long. RefSeq lists it as uncharacterized. Lineage: Eukaryota; Metazoa; Chordata; Mammalia; Rodentia; Spalacidae. The transcript has 4 exons. The record is from RefSeq and is a predicted model, not a curated record.